GCACACUCGUAUCAGUUAUGUAUUUAAGAGUAUUCCUUAGUUUUAUUGCUGCCUUCCAGAGGCAGCUUCCUGAAGAAAUAUUUGAGGUCCUCUGUAAGCUUCCAGGAGUAGACUGUUUCCUCCGAGAAGGCCUGUUCGUCAGAAGAAGCAAAAGGUUUUAUUCUAGAGACAUGGACUCAAGUCGGAAGUCCUUCCAACGUUAUGACCGUUGGAGUGGACAAGAUAACCUGGGAGUGGUUACCUGGAGCCCUGGUGUCUUUGGAAGGAGCAGAUAACCCAUAGCUUUUCUGCAGAAGCAGGGCCCCGGUAUCCAUUCAUCAAGCCUCUAGCACCACGGGAGCCUCCACGAGACACACCACGACUAUUGUAAUAGGGCUGAUUGCUACGUGGAAAUCCAGUGUUCUGCUGAGGAGGCUGCUGGUGGUUACCAGUCACUUGAUGGGACUGGUCCGGGGAACCAUGGUAAGUGCCAACCACUGUUUGAAGCUAUUCUUGCUGAAGCUCUGUUUGUUCUACUUGGUGAGGCUGACUAGAAAAGCUCUGGUUAUAACUGGCCUGGUACUGAUUUUGCUGUUUUAAAGUUUCUGGUUCACAGCUUUUCCAGUUAAAUUGGAGCACUGAACGUUCAGAUGCAUACCAAAUUAUGCAUGGGUCCUAAUCACACCUAUAAGGCUGGCUACCAGCUUUGACACAGCACUGUUCAUCUGGCCAAACAACUGUGGUUAAAAACACAUGUAAAAUGCUUUUUAACAGCUGAUACUGUAUAAGACAAAGCCAAGAUGCAAAAUUAGGCUUUGAUUGGCACUUUUUGAAAAAUAUGCAACAAAUAUGGGAUGUAAUCUGGAUGGCCGCUUCUGUACUUAAUGUGAAAUAUUUAGAUACCUUUUUGAACACUUAACAGUUUUUUUGAGACAAUGACUUUUGUAAGGAUUGGUACUAUCAUUCCUUAUGACAUGUACAUUGUCUGUCACUAAUCCUUGGAUUUUGCUGUAUUGUCACCUAAAUUGGUACAGGUAUUGAUGAAAUCUCUAGUGGAUAAUCAUAACACUCUUGGUCACAUGUUUUUCCUUCAGCUUGAAAGCUUUUUUUUAAAAGGAAAAGAUACCAAAUGCCUGCUGCUACCACCCUUUUCAAUUGCUAUCUUUUGAAAGGCACCAGUAUGUGUUUUAGAUUGAUUUCCCUGUUUCAGGGAAGUCACAGACGGUAGUUUCAGUUCUGAUGGUAUAAGCAAAACAAAUAAAACAUGUUUAUAAAAAAAAAAUUAUUGGAGAUUUUUUUCUUAAUGUUACCAAAACAUCAAAAUCAGUAACUAACUAAAGAAAGAAACAAAAAAGGAAGUAAAAUCAUACAAAAAAAUAACUGAUAAGAGGGAGGAAAUUUAAAUAAAAUCUAAAGAUACUACUUUUCAGACCUCUUUGUAAAUACGUUGAAAACCUAGAAAAAUUGAUAAUUUUUAAUGAAAAUCCACUUACUAAAAAUAAGCUCGUUCGAUAUAGAAAAUUUAAGCAGACCAACUUUCAUAGGAAUAGAGAAAGUUUUAAGGAUUUACCUUACAUUUUAAAAAAGUC
Long non-coding RNA from Macaca mulatta (Rhesus monkey), 1568 nucleotides. The record is from Ensembl. Lineage: Eukaryota; Metazoa; Chordata; Mammalia; Primates; Cercopithecidae.